GGACAAGUAACUCUUGGAAAACCGAAGAGACAAGUAACUCUUGAAAAACCGAAAGGACAAGUUACUAUUAAAAUUUUAAACCAACGAUUCAUAUUGAUUUACUAUUAUAAUUUCAACCAACUGUCUGAAAAAUUAUCACAUCUUCUCAUGGAAUAAUAUUGUACUCAAAAAUGAUUUGGACCGAAAAGAAAUAUAUUUUUCGGGUGAAUAGUACCCCGUGAAUAGUACUUUGGGAAUA
Molecule: long non-coding RNA, 238 nt
Filed under: Panax ginseng (ginseng)
Lineage: Eukaryota; Viridiplantae; Streptophyta; Magnoliopsida; Apiales; Araliaceae
Description: long non-coding RNA (PGIN_LNC017917)
Source: RNAcentral